RNAcentral lists this ribosomal RNA (462 nucleotides) under uncultured bacterium. Its description in RNAcentral is "bacterial SSU rRNA". It matches the Rfam family "Bacterial small subunit ribosomal RNA", at positions 28 to 507 of the family's 1533-position model. The record is from RNAcentral.
GAUGAACGUUGGCGGCGUGCCUAAUACAUGCAAGUCGAACGAAGACUGUAGUAAUACUGUCUUAGUGGCGAACGGGUGAGUAACGCGUGGGUGACCUGCCCCGAAGUGUGGGAUAACAGUUCGAAAGGAUUGCUAAUACUGCAUAAUAUCCAAGAGAUUAGACGCUUUUGGAUUAAAGGAGUAAUUCGCGUUCGGGAGGGGCCCGCGUCCCAUCAGCUAGUUGGUAAGGUAAUGGCUUACCAAGGCGAUGACGGGUAGGGGACCUGAGAGGGUGGCCCCCCCACAAUGGAACUGAAACACGGUCCAUACACCUACGGGUGGCAGCAGUAGGGAAUAUUAGUAAUGGGCGAAAGCCUGAACUAGCAACGCCGCGUGUGCGAAGAAGGCCUUCGGGUUGUAAAGCACUUUUUGAGAGGAUGAGGAAGGACGGUACUCUCAGAAUAAGUCUCGGCUAACUACGUG